This 528-nucleotide ribosomal RNA is filed under the name uncultured bacterium. Its description in RNAcentral is "bacterial SSU rRNA". It matches the Rfam family "Bacterial small subunit ribosomal RNA", at positions 18 to 518 of the family's 1533-position model. The record is from RNAcentral.
CCUGGCUUAGGACGAACGCUGGCGGCGUGCCUAAUACAUGCAAGUCGAACGGUCUUUUCUAUGGAAGCUUGCUUCCACUGAGAAGAUAGUGGCGAACGGGUGAGUAACACGUGGGUAACCUGCCCAUAAGAGGGGGAUAACAUCCGGAAACGGGUGCUAAUACCGCAUAGUUUUCUUGAUUGCAUGAUUGAGAAAGGAAAGACGGCCUUUGUGCUGUCGCUUAUGGAUGGACCCGCGGCGUAUUAGUUAGUUGGUGAGGUAACGGCUCACCAAGACGAUGAUACGUAGCCGACCUGAGAGGGUGAUCGGCCACAUUGGGACUGAGACACGGCCCAAACUCCUACGGGAGGCAGCAGUAGGGAAUCUUCCGCAAUGGACGAAAGUCUGACGGAGCAACGCCGCGUGAGUGAAGAAAGGUUUUCGGAUCGUAAAACUCUGUUGUCAGAGAAGAACAAGUUGGAGAGUAACUGCUCCAGCCUUGACGGUAUCUGACCAGAAAGCCACGGCUAACUACGUGCCAGCAGCGGC